RNAcentral lists this ribosomal RNA (497 nucleotides) under uncultured bacterium. RNAcentral describes it as "partial 16S ribosomal RNA". It matches the Rfam family "Bacterial small subunit ribosomal RNA", at positions 28 to 507 of the family's 1533-position model. The record is from RNAcentral.
GAUGAACGCUGGCGGCGUGCCUAGUACAUGCAAGUCGAGCGAACAGACGAGGAGCUUGCUCCUCUGACGUUAGCGGCGGACGGGUGAGUAACACGUGGAUAACCUACCUAUAAGACUGGGAUAACUUCGGGAAACCGGAGCUAAUACCGGAUAAUAUAUUGAACCGCAUGGUUCAAUAGUGAAAGACGGUUUUGCUGUCACUUAUAGAUGGAUCCGCGCCGCAUUAGCUAGUUGGUAAGGUAACGGCUUACCAAGGCAACGAUGCGUAGCCGACCUGAGAGGGUGAUCGGCCACACUGGAACUGAGACACGGGCCAGACUCCUACGGGAGGCAGCAGUAGGGAAUUUGCAGCAAUGGGCGAAAGCCUGACGGAGCAACGCCGCGUGAGUGAUGAAGGUCUUCGGAUCGUAAAACUCUGUUAUUAGGGAAGAACAAAUGUGUAAGUAAAUAUGCACGUCUUGACGGUACCUAAUAAGAAAGCCACGGCUAACUACGUG